AUUGAACGCUGGCGGCAGGCCUAACACAUGCAAGUCGAACGAGUGGCGGACGGGUGAGUAAUGUCUGGGAAACUGCCCGAUGGAGGGGGAUAACUACUGGAAACGGUAGCUAAUACCGCAUACCAUCGGAUGUGCCCAGAUGGGAUUAGCUAGUAGGGGGGGUAACGGCUCACCUAGGCGACGAUCCCUAGCUGGUCUGAGAGGAUGACCAGCUACCCUGGAACUGAGCCCCUGUCCAGACUCCGACGGGAGGCAGCAGUGGGGAAGAGUGCACAAUGGGCGCAAGCCUGAUGCAGCCAUGCCGCGUGGAUGAAGAAGGCCUUCGGGUUGUAAAGUACUUUCAGCGGGGAGGCGUUACCCGCAUAAGAAGCACCGGCUAACUCCGUGCCAGCAGCCGCGGUAAUUC
RNAcentral lists this ribosomal RNA (406 nucleotides) under uncultured bacterium. RNAcentral describes it as "partial 16S ribosomal RNA". It matches the Rfam family "Bacterial small subunit ribosomal RNA", at positions 30 to 526 of the family's 1533-position model. The record is from RNAcentral.